GCCUGGCUAGCUCAAUCGGUAGAGCAUCUGACUCUUAUUAAUUGGGAUCAUCAGAAGGUUGCGGGUUCGAGCCCCGCGUUGGGCU
Hyphopichia burtonii NRRL Y-1933 is the source of this 85-nucleotide transfer RNA. It matches the Rfam family "tRNA". From Rfam's summary of the family: Transfer RNA (tRNA) molecules are approximately 80 nucleotides in length. Their secondary structure includes four short double-helical elements and three loops (D, anti-codon, and T loops). Further hydrogen bonds mediate the characteristic L-shaped molecular structure. tRNAs have two regions of fundamental functional importance: the anti-codon, which is responsible for specific mRNA codon recognition, and the 3' end, to which the tRNAs corresponding amino acid is attached (by aminoacyl-tRNA synthetases). tRNAs cope with the degeneracy of the genetic code in two manners: having more than one tRNA (with a specific anti-codon) for a particular amino acid; and 'wobble' base-pairing, i.e. permitting non-standard base-pairing at the 3rd anti-codon position. NCBI's taxonomy places the organism in Eukaryota, Fungi, Ascomycota, Pichiomycetes, Serinales, Debaryomycetaceae. The record is from Rfam.